Long non-coding RNA from Passer domesticus (house sparrow), 2346 nucleotides. RefSeq lists it as uncharacterized. NCBI's taxonomy places the organism in Eukaryota, Metazoa, Chordata, Aves, Passeriformes, Passeridae. The record is from RefSeq and is a predicted model, not a curated record. The transcript has 3 exons.
AAAAUUUAUUUGUGUUCAAAAAUACAGGUUAAAAAAAAAAGGAGUGGAAGGCAUAAAUAGUUAUGCAGAAUUGAGGUCUACCAUUGUUGGAUUUCUGGAUUGUCUGGAAGACUCCUCCAAGACAGCUGACUGGGAAGACUGAGACACAGGCAUCACUACCAGGACAUUUCAUUCUGGAACAGUUCAGAAACAGCCUCCCACACAAUAAAGCACAGGAGGACUGUAAACAAGGUUUGCCUUUUGAUGCUUGAAUUUGUUUCUACCCUUAAGCCCAACUUCUGAAGGUAGAAAGAAACUGGAUCAUGCAGAACACCUGAAAUUGUAGUAAAACAGGUUUGCUGACCAUGCCUGUGUUCUGCUGGGUUGUCAUAUGGAUUGAUGCUUCUGCUAAGGACACCAAGCUUCCUUCCUUGGUGAAGAUCUUAAUUUUUGUCUUUUAUUUACAACUCUUCUUUUUGUGCAGUUAGAGACUCAGGAGCUUUCACUGCUGGAAGAUACUACUCCUAAAGAGACUUUGAUCAUGCAGCCUAAUGAGUGUCACUCACUUUGAGCCAACAAUGAACACUACAAGACCAGACCCAGAAUAUAGUGCAAAGUAGACAAACAAACCUGCCCUGAGUCUGACAAGAAGGGAUGUUAAAUUUCUUGUACCUGGGUUUUUGUUAUGUUGCCACAUCAUCCAUCCUAAUUUGCAUUGCCAUGGGGAGGAGGAGUGCUCCUGGCCUCUCCUCUCAUGCGUUUCUCUUCCUGAGGAUCAGCAUGUGGGCAGGGGAGGGAGGAGGAAAAUCCCUGCAGGUAGUUUUGCAUUCAGGCUGUGUGAUGCCAGCCUAAGAGGGGCACCAGGGACAAGCAGAGAUGAGACAGCAGAUUUCGAUGGCAGUAUGGAUUUGUGUUGGACUAAAUUGACUGCAUAACUGUGACCUCAGAGGGAUCCUCCAGAGCAUGUACCCAGUGCAGCAACUGGUUGUUAGCACAGGGGACAUGGCCCAGGAGGACAGGCUGCCACUGGAGCUUUGUACCCCAGCAAUCUCUAUUUAAUGAAAAUCUUCACACAUCACUGGCAGGGAGUAUGAAUCAGCACAGCCUUUGGAUUGCUGUCAUUUGGAAGGCUCAGACUGAUACAUUUUAUCCCACAACACUGUUUAGAAGCAAUAUGUAGAGUUUUAAAAGUAAAGGUCUUUGAAAUUAAGCAAGUAAACAAAUUACUAAUAGCAAACAGGAGUUUUGGGAGUGGGUGGGUGCAAAUGGAUAUGAAAGCUGAGUGACAAGGAAGACAACCAAACACAAAUACAUCAAACUGCAUCUACCAGUUGCUUUUGUUUCAGUGGAGUGGUCUCUGAGGCAGUUUCCCUGAACAGCUGCACUUUCUCUAUUCCAAUUGGAAAAGGAAAACAUCAGAAAGUUUCACAAGUCAAGGGGAAAAACAAGCAGGAACAGACAGGAAAUAUGCUGUUAAAUGUAAGAUCUGACACUGCAAGACCUCGGACUACUUUGCUCAGGGAGAACAGGUAGCCUGUUCAGACAGCAAGAAGCACCAAGUCUUGGGAAAGGAAGAAAAAAACAAACAAGAAAAAGUCUCUUUUGGAUCAUGAUAACCAGGUCAUCUUAUGGCAAAUCUAACAAAUUGCAGACUUUGGCUCAGCAAGCUCAUGUCAUAUGUACACAAGGUAUGAUAAUGGAGUAGUCAGCACAGUGCUGCACUUCCAAAAUCUUGUAGAUGGGUUAUAACAUUAAAACUGGGCAAUAGAGUAUAUUACUCUAGCAACUCCUUCUCUGAGCUCUUCUUAUCAAGCCUUGCUUCUACUCACACAUCAACUACACCAAGCAGAUGUCUUCUCAUGCAGCUGAGGAAGCAGUGCUGAAUUCCAGACAGAGCAGACUGAAAGUCAGUUUUAAGGGUUUCAUCUAAAACACCAACAUCAAGAACAGGAUUUGUUUCACUGGGAGAUGUACUUUCCAUAUUUUUUUGUCCUUGUUGUCAGUCAUGUGAUUGCAUGACUAGUUGAGGAAUCAGACAACUCCAAUGGAAAAGAGAAAUUAGGUCAUCUGGUCCACCCUUGCUGCCAGGACAUGACUGUUCCCUGCAGUGAUCACUUCCCACACAGUUAUCUUUCCAACAGUCUUUUUGAGGAUGGAAAUGCAAUUCAGAGUCCCGUUUGGCUAUGGCUUCCAGAGCUUUUGAGGACUUUUUAUUUCGCCAAGAAUGCUUAAUGAGAGAAUCAGAUCUAACAAUUUUAAAUUCAUUUCAAAGAAAAGAAAUCAAAAUCUCAGUAUUUCAUUCUCAAUAAAAACUUUUUAAUAGAAAAAUGAUGCAGUAUUUGGGAUAAUUUGGGACAAUGUUUUUAU